This 242-nucleotide long non-coding RNA is filed under the name Vigna radiata. RNAcentral's name for it is "long non-coding RNA (VRAD_LNC011125)". Lineage: Eukaryota; Viridiplantae; Streptophyta; Magnoliopsida; Fabales; Fabaceae. The record is from RNAcentral.
GUUGACCUGCAGAAAACACUCCGACGCUCAAGUCAGAUAUGUUUCAUAGGGAGGUCAAUAUUUUUAUUAGGAUAGAUUCAGAUGAUCGUACCUGGACAUCAGUUGUACACUUAUAAGGCUUGUGACAACCAACUCCAUUGAUUAGUCAUUAGUGCAAUAUAUUUUAGGUAAUCAAACCCAAUAAUUAAUCAUUAAUAUCGUAUAUUGUUAAUUGCCCAUGAAUGACCAUUAACUCUGACCGG